AUGACCAGACAUGGAACUGACUUCCACAAAAAGGAUUCUGGCCCAUGUAGCUUGAUAAAUUUGGAAGCAGCCCUUUAUCUAAAGACAAUUUUAUGUGAAUUACGAAAGUAUGCCCUGCCAGACAAGAACUUGCCCGAAGAUGAACAACACUGUUCCAAGGAAACUGGGAGUGUUCCACCCUGUUCACUUCAGCACAACUGAUGGCCUAAGAAACACUAUCUGUUAACUAUUGGAGGUAAAGUCAUCCCAUAAUGACAUUCAGCUGAGCAGCUAUUAACUAAGAAACACCACCAAGAAUCCAAAGGCCUAAUGACAAGCCAGGUUUGGCACAGUACACCACAUGAAACAAAAUAACCACUGUGAGGAUUUCCAUGGAAAAAUGUUAAUCAUCUCCCAAAACAGGGAAAAUGUGUGACAUAAAGAACAGGAAGUAAUGGCAAACAUAUGUCAGGCAGCAUUCUUUAUUUACCUUUCAUUGCAGUGCCUUCAGAUGAGAAGGUUGAACUCUCACCGAGAAGGGAGUAAAUUUUAAACUCAUGUUAACUGAUCCAGACAGUCAUAAAUGGAGAUGUGCUUCCUCGCCUCUUAUUGAUAUUAAUUGGUUUAUUGAACCAGCUGUGGAAAUUG
Molecule: long non-coding RNA, 627 nt
Filed under: Pogona vitticeps (central bearded dragon)
Lineage: Eukaryota; Metazoa; Chordata; Lepidosauria; Squamata; Agamidae
Description: lncRNA (ENSPVIG00000005345.1)
Source: RNAcentral